UGGUGGAGUGAUUUGUCUGCUUAAUUGCGAUAACGAACGAGACCUUAACCUGCUAAAUAGCCCGCGUCGCUUUGGCGGCGCGCUAGCUUCUUAGAGGGACUAUCGGCUCAAGCCGAUGGAAGUUUGAGGCAAUAACA
RNAcentral lists this ribosomal RNA (137 nucleotides) under uncultured eukaryote. Its description in RNAcentral is "partial 18S ribosomal RNA". It matches the Rfam family "Eukaryotic small subunit ribosomal RNA", at positions 1299 to 1458 of the family's 1831-position model. The record is from RNAcentral.